UACGGGGGGGGCAAGCGUUGUUCGGAAUUACUGGGCGUAAAGGGCUCGUAGGCGGCCAACUAAGUCAGACGUGAAAUCCCCAGGCUCAACCUGGGAACUGCGUCUGAUACUGGAUGGCUUGAAUCCGGGAGAGGGAUGCAGAAUUCCAGGUGUAGCGGUGAAAUGCGCAGAUAUCAGGAGGAACACCGGUGGCGAAGGCGGGUCUCUGGGCAACAACUGACGCUGAGGAGCGAAAGCGUGGGGAGCGAACAGG
RNAcentral lists this ribosomal RNA (253 nucleotides) under uncultured bacterium. RNAcentral describes it as "partial 16S ribosomal RNA". It matches the Rfam family "Bacterial small subunit ribosomal RNA", at positions 524 to 776 of the family's 1533-position model. The record is from RNAcentral.